This 71-nucleotide transfer RNA is filed under the name Marmota monax (woodchuck). RNAcentral describes it as "tRNA.Ala". It matches the Rfam family "tRNA". Rfam says of the family: Transfer RNA (tRNA) molecules are approximately 80 nucleotides in length. Their secondary structure includes four short double-helical elements and three loops (D, anti-codon, and T loops). Lineage: Eukaryota; Metazoa; Chordata; Mammalia; Rodentia; Sciuridae. The record is from RNAcentral.
GGGGAUGUAGCUUGGUGGUAGAGUGCUUGUCUAGCAUGCAUGAGGCACUGGGUUCAAUUCUCAGCACCACA